Small nucleolar RNA from Salvelinus sp. IW2-2015, 130 nucleotides. RefSeq annotates it as small nucleolar RNA SNORA17. The transcript has a single exon. NCBI's taxonomy places the organism in Eukaryota, Metazoa, Chordata, Actinopteri, Salmoniformes, Salmonidae. The record is from RefSeq and is a predicted model, not a curated record.
GCUGCCACUAGAGGCGUUGCAGCGUGACAUCACAGUGUUGUGUCUGUGUCAUUAGCUCGCUGAAAGGUGCCAUGUGUCACCUACUUGCCCUAGCACUGUGGGCACUUGGAGAGUUUUGUGGCACAACAUU